UUUAGAGAACCUAUUUCUAAUUCUUAUGUCACCCCAUUCUCCAUGUGUGUGGUACAGGCCUCACACCACAACAGAGCAUCAUCCUGGUGGUCGUAAUACUGAGCGUGGCAUUCAUUGCAACACUGGCACUACGCAUACGCUGGUCUCGUAUAAACCUCCGUCGCCGAAAGAACAUGCAGCGUGGAGCGCUCUGGCGUCCAGAACGUAUGGGUUGUUAUGACUUCACAGACUAUGCAGACCAGCCUCCUACAUUACUAACGACACCCUCCCGUGCUUGCGACAGUGACGCCUUGCUUUGUCCAUAUGUGGAUCCUGUCCUGCAUGAUAGUGGGACUCCAAGACACCCCUACGCUCCUUUAGGAUAUGGUUACCCUGUGGCUCCAGCAUCACCUACCAGCUUCCAUCGUUCAUCAUUGCAGCUUUCAAUAAGAGAGGCUGCACAGAGUGCUGCUCUUGUGCGUGGUCUUAGCCGGAGGACUUCGCCUGCCGAUGUGUUUUCAGCAUCACCAGCCUGUAUGCAUGGUCCCUCAUCUUUCUUGGGUCUCUCCGGUUCUGUACUUGAGCAGCGCCCCUCACCAGGUAUGCUGCCCACCAAGGACAUAUUCCCGGUUUACUCUACCCGCCAGGUUUCAUGCUCACCUGGCUGUCCUCGGCCACCAUCACCUUGUGAGUACGUCAAUCUUCCAUCAAACAGCACACCUCUAGGCCUGCCUAGCCGUUGUAGCCAGCCCCUGCCUCGGCAGGCUGCUUUUUGAAACUCCACUGCCAGCAGCCCCUACCCACAAUGGGCAUGUCUAUGCUGUUUGCUGUGCACCAAAUAUGUCUCGCUCGCCUUUGUUGCCAAGCACCCGCAUCUCUCAGCCUCGUCGUCGUGCCAAUACAAUGGCUGGUGAGGUGCGGACACAAUAUGAAGAUGAGAAUGGAUCUCCACUGAAAAUCCGACCUCCACUCAGCAGCCAGUCAACUCAGGAGGAAUUACCCCCAUUGCCACCAAGUGCUGCACUUAUCCACCCAUGGCCCUCAGAAAGACAUGUCAUUGAGCGAGAUGUAGGAUCUCCGCUGCGCCCUCUUGCUGUUCAGCCACCAUCUUCACUGCUUCAUCUCAACUGCAAUUUUCCUGAUGAUCUGGCUUCAUCAGCCCACUUUACUACUCCAUCUCACCACAGUCCUCUCUCUAUCUGCGGCCCACCAGAUUUCAGGCCCAAAACUCGACUGACGCGUGUUGCCUCAGAUCCCCGCUCUUGUGUCUCAGAGCCGGCAGCACCGACAUCGACAGCAUACCGUGACCGGUAUAAUGCAGCUUCACCAAUGUACAUCUCAGAAUCGCAUCCAACUUCAGCUGCUGCUUCUCCUCGUACACCCCGUCCUCGUGGCCGCCCGGGUCCAUCAGCAACCAGAAGUCUCCGCAGAGAACCACCAGUCCAACUCUCGGGAUGUAACAUCCCAGACACAGGGUCACUUCCACGACGUGGUCGAGCAGCAAUAUCAUCAGGUGUUCAACGUCGGGCAGCACGGGCACAACACUCACCACCAGGAGCUGGAUGUUAUGUGCCAUAUUCUCCAGAGAAACAGAUUAAGGCCUACCAGGCCUUACCUCUGACUGGAGACAGCCGAUAUGGCCAUGGACAUUCCAACUCACCAGCUGCUGGUUUUGCCUACUGUGGACAGGUUGGGAACAUCUUACAGUGUCAUCCUCCUGCACAACCGGCGACAAGGAAAAAUUUCCUGCAUGGGGCUCGUGUGAAAAGAUUCUGAGUCAACCCAGGACGAUGAACCCAUGGACCACAUCAUUUACAUGCUGACAGCCCACUGAGCUAUUGAGUCUUCAGGAUAUCCUCAGACAUUUCUCACACUGACACUGCAAGCUUUAUAAUGGCUGACAUCUUACGAGGUAAACCCCCAGUGUGCGCGCGCGCACACACACACACACACACA
Molecule: long non-coding RNA, 1935 nt
Filed under: Eptatretus burgeri (inshore hagfish)
Lineage: Eukaryota; Metazoa; Chordata; Myxini; Myxiniformes; Myxinidae
Description: lncRNA (ENSEBUG00000017201.1)
Source: RNAcentral